RNAcentral lists this long non-coding RNA (1304 nucleotides) under Oncorhynchus kisutch (coho salmon). Its description in RNAcentral is "lncRNA (ENSOKIG00005020490.1)". The record is from RNAcentral. Lineage: Eukaryota; Metazoa; Chordata; Actinopteri; Salmoniformes; Salmonidae.
UUUGUCUGAAAAUAAAAUAUGAUCCUCAACUACGUUUCCCCUCCAGUCAGCAGACGCGAUGUGCAUCUUUCAGGCGAUGCUGCCAGCGUGACGUGUAAUCUAGUGGACGGUUCUUCAGAAACAGCUCGUCAAGCAACUCCGUAGCUUGCUAGCGAACAUAGCCGAAAGAUUCAAGCUAUUUAUACGCUUUCGUUGUAUAUUAGCUACUGUGUUUUAUACACACUUAUAUCGUAUCUACUCGUUAACCUAUUUAAUUUAAUAUGACGUUAUUUUGUAUUAGUCAGAUAUAGUAGCUGGCUGGUUAAGUUAGCACUAGCCUAGUCGCUAAUGAUAGCUAGCUAACAUCCCAGAACAUGAGCUCCCUAAACUACUCUCCUGCUAAAGAAGAGGAGGUCUGCUGGACGGAGAAAGAAGCUCUGGGGCUGAACAUUGUCGUGAAAGAGGAGAAGGAAGAGGAGGAUGUCACAGUAAAACAAGUAGAGGGUGAGGCUGUUACAGUGAAAGAAGAGAAAGACGUUACAGUGAAAGAAGAGGAUGUCGUUUUUGGUGUGAAAAAGAGGUUGGAGAUCUGUUUAACGCCAGUCCUCUGACUGGGAAUGUGUGUUGCAGUUUUACUUUAGUGCCUCAUUGCAAACAGGAUGCAUGUUUUGGAAUAUUUUUUUCUGUAUAGGCUUCUUUCUUUUCUUUGUCAUUUAGGUUAGUAUUGUGGAGUAACUACAAUGUUGUUGAUCCAUCCUCAGUUGUCUCAUAUCACAACAAUUAAACAUUGUAACUAUUUUAAAGUCACCAUUGGCUUCAUGGUGAAAUCCCGGAGCGGUUUCCUUCGUCUCCAGCAACUGAGUUAGGAAGGACGCCUGUAUCUUUGUCGUGACUGGGUGAAUUGAUGCAUCAUCUAAAGUGUAAUUAAUAACUUCACAAUGCUCAAAGGGAUGUUCAAUGUCUGCUUUUUUUUAACCUAUCUACCAAUCGGUGCCCUUCUUUACGAGGCGUUGAAAAACCUCCCUGGUCUUUGUGGAUGAAUCUGUGUUUGAAAUUAUUGAAUCCAUUUUAAAUUCAGGCUGUAACACAACAACAUUUGGGACAUGUCAUGGGGUGUGAAUACUUUCUGAAGGUACUGUAUAUAUAAAACUCUCCACCCAGCAAUCUAAUAGCAUCAGUAAAAUCUGUUGAAAUAAAACCACAGAUAAAUAUACCUAACAUAGUACAAUUAAACAAUACAUCACAAUACAUACAUCAGAAAUAGUUACACAUUAUAGAGAUCCAUUCAUGGAUGUACAGGUCUGUUGGAUAAACGUUCAGAAAUG